AUUGAACGCUGGCGGCAGGCCUAACACAUGCAAGUCGAGCGGAGCGGCGGACGGGUGAGUAAUGCCUAGGAAUCUGCCUGGUAGUGGGGGAUAACGUCCGGAAACGGGCGCUAAUACCGCAUACUAUCAGAUGAGCCUAGGUCGGAUGAGCGAGUUGGUGGGGUAAAGGCCUACCAAGGCGACGAUCCGUAACUGGUAUGAGAGGAUGAUCAGUCAAACUGUAAUUGAGACACGGUCCAGAUUCGUAAGGGAGGCUGCAGUGGGGAAGAGUGGACAAUGGGCGAAAGCCUGAUCCAGCCAUGCCGCGUGGGUGAAGAAGGUCUUCGGAUUUUAAAGCACUUGAAGUGGGGAGGCGUUGCCAACAGAAUAAGCACAGGCUAACUUCGUGCCAGCAGCCGCGGUAAUAC
Molecule: ribosomal RNA, 407 nt
Filed under: uncultured bacterium
Lineage: Bacteria
Description: partial 16S ribosomal RNA
Rfam family: Bacterial small subunit ribosomal RNA
Source: RNAcentral